This 253-nucleotide ribosomal RNA is filed under the name uncultured bacterium. RNAcentral's name for it is "partial 16S ribosomal RNA". It matches the Rfam family "Bacterial small subunit ribosomal RNA", at positions 524 to 776 of the family's 1533-position model. The record is from RNAcentral.
UACGUAGGGGGCAAGCGUUGUUCGGAAUUACUGGGCGUAAAGGGCGCGUAGGCGGCACAGCAAGUCGGGGGUGAAAUCCUGGGGCUCAACCUCAGAAUUGCCUCCGAUACUGGCAGUCUCGAGUGCGGGAGAGGUGAGUGGAAUUCCCAGUGUAGAGGUGAAAUUCGUAGAUAUUGGGAAGAACACCAGUGGCGAAGGCGGCUCACUGGCCCGUAACUGACGCUGAGGUGCGAAAGCGUGGGGAGCAAACAGG